GUGCUCGCUUUGAUGGCACAUGCACUAAAAAUUGGAAAAAUACAGAGAAGAUUUAACAUAGCCCCUGCACAAGGAUGACAUGCAAAUUCAUGAAGUGUUCCAUAUUUUU
This is a small nuclear RNA of Rhinolophus ferrumequinum (greater horseshoe bat), 109 nucleotides long. Lineage: Eukaryota; Metazoa; Chordata; Mammalia; Chiroptera; Rhinolophidae. The record is from Ensembl.